AGUGAGAUGGCAAUGGACACCUUUGCACCAACCUCGUGCGCGUGGAACGGAUUGUUUGGGAAGCAUCGCUCGCUACUCUUCCCCACAACACACACAUACACACAGAGGUAAUACGCGCGCGCGCGCGCACUCCUCAUUCCGAUUUCCCCUGCUCUCUCCCAGGCCCAGCCCACGAAGAGCUUUGGUCUACCUUCCGUGCUAGUGGGGCUGUCUAUGAGAGUAAUCCGCUGGCGCUAACCUCUUACAGUCCUCAUCUCCAUUCCUGUCCCCGCCCCAACUCUAUUUUGUCUCCAUGGCAAUUGUUAUGCAUUCAAAAGAAGAAGAAAAGCAAUCCAGUCCCUUGCAUGGGGAAAAGCUUGAAAGUCAGUGUGGGUUUGGGGAGUGGCUGAGAGAGGGAAGAUAAGAUGCAAAGCAUCACAUGUCCUCUUUCGGACACAUGCAACCUUCGGUGGACAAUUUGCAAGAAGCCCCCCACCAAACCGCACCACCAGCCUUCCACCCCUGUCCCCCGCUUCUUUGCAAGAGCUGUAUCUAAACGCUCAGGCCACCUGGCCUGAAAGGGGCUAUGACCAUAAUAUCCUAUUGUUUCCUCUCCAAUGUGGGCUGGAAUAACCCACACGGACGGAUGCGCUAGUAGAUAGGCUCCAACACCAGGUAGUUAAACGGCCCUCUUUUGCAUAGAGUUGCCGGGGGGAGGGGCGGCGGUGCCAGAAAGGACACUAGGGGUCGUGGUACCCCAUGUCUCUCCUCCAUCUGUGGCACCUCUGAAGAUCCCUGGGAAUGUUGCAGGGUUAUUUGGCAGGGAGGAAGUAACAAGGCGAGAGAGACGCGUGUGAAGACUUCUGACUUUUGCCAAGCACCGCAUGAGUGAGCAUCGCCGGCUAUGUUCGCUGCUACUACCCACCCCAGGAGGAGGGGGGAAUGGCACGUUUCCCUUGCGCGCAUACGCGCAAACACACACACACCACACGCCCCACAUAUAUCAGGCUACAGCCCCAGCCCCAAUUGCUACUACUAAGAUGAUAAUUACAAAGAAAUAAAGGAGGAUGUACUAUGCGGGGUUGAUAUUCCCACACUUCCUGGUACCUCCAGAUCUGUUGCAGAACACGGGAGCCGGCGAGGCACAUGCUGCCUCUCCCCGCGGCGCUUGCACACAAAGGAAGGCACCCCAACUGUCAGCGCCAAGGAAGACACUGCAGCAAUAGAAAAGGUCUACCUCCACCCCCAAAUGUGGUUUUCCCGCCCUUCACAAUGCUGGAAAGAGGGAGGUAGAAGAGGACCUGUCAAACCCAAACACCUUGGGAAGCCAGCCCCCACCCACCCAGGCAAAAUAAAAUAAAAUAAUGCCUUAAAGCAGGUGAACUGGGGGAGAUAGGAAAGAGGCUUCCGUUGUCCCCAUUUAUUCUCCCCCUCCCGUUCUUUCUUCCCAGAGCUCAGUACGGAAAGGGAAAGGCAGAAAGAGAGACAAAGGAAAUUCUGGAGAGGAGGGGGGUGUAUAGACAAAGGAGUGUUGCGCGGGGUGGGGGGCUGUGGAGAAUGCAGGAGGAAGAGGAGGAGAAGGGGUUGGCAAAACACAGAGAGAGACACACGCACACACGCACACACCUGGCCGGGCCCCUUACCUUUAGAUGCAUCUUUCUCUUCCUUUGACUUGAUCACCUUCCCGCUCAUAGAUCCCAGUUUGGUUGUAAAAUCCCCCCAAGAGACCUCGUGUGGACAAUCCGACUGGACUUCCAGGAAAUGCAGGCAGUGGAUGGAGAUAUGUGGACAGAGCGAUGAGAGCGCCUUCUUUUCCCCCCACCUUUCUUUUGUGGGUAAACGAAGAGGGGGUUGAAGAGAGGAGGGAAAUCCUAAAAGCAAAAUGUAUUUUUCUUGAAAAAUAAUAAAUAAAAAAGGAAGGGGACGGGAGGAAGAAGAGAAGGGAAAGAGGGGGAGAAAGGAAGAAUCAGGAGGAAAUCUUGAUGGCUCCUCGUGCUUUUUCCUGGUGCAGGAGGGUUCUUAAAGCCCACCACCACUGCCAAAGACUGUAUUGAACCUGCUGGCUGGUGCUGUCUCUCUCCCCCCUCCUGCCUAGUACAGGAGAAAGGGGGGCAGUGAAAGCGAGGGGGGUCCCCUGGACAUCCGCAGGAUUCUCCCUCGCCUUGGCUGGGAGGUUUGCAAGAGACAAAAGCAGUUUGCUGCCUCUCUCUCCCCCGCCAGAGAUUCCCUCUCCUCCUUCCACCUUUCCCAGGCAGUAGGAGAGGAGGAGGGGACCACCACUCCUAAUAGCUCCAGCCCACCCCACCCCCACCCCCCAGAUGCUACUGGCAGGCAGAGAAUUACACACACCUCUCUUGUUCUCCCCACUCAAGCGAAGGGCGGUGGGGUUGCCGCUUGGGGGAGGGAGCGUGCAAUUUCCCUGCCUCCCCCCGCUCCUACACACACGAUUCUUGUAAAAGUCUAGGGAGGUGUUGGAAGAAACGAAGGGGGGGUCAUUACACUGCAGAGAGGGGCGUGGAUAAAACUUGCAGGGUUUCUUUUCAAACACAGGAGAGUCGCUCAACAAAUUGUAUGUUCAGGUAGGGAGAAUAGCUAUGGGCAAAGCUGUUCCCCAGGUGGAGAGAGAGGCGCUACCUGUUGGGUCUGGAGUAAAAGAGGGAUGGGCGGGGGCUGCUUCUGCGUGGCCAAAAAAGAAAGGAGAGCAAAUGCGUAAUAAAAGAGGGUUUCGCAUUUGCAUGAAAUUUGCAUAUGAAAUUUGCAUAGCAACGCAAUGCUUCUCCAUAGGGAAGCCUAUGACCUGUGUGCCUGCUCUCCAGGUUCUGGAUGUGGAGCAACUUCCAAGGGCCGCCUUGCCCUCCCUUCUUGAUCUUUAAGGCAGACUUCAACCCAGCAUCUCUUCCAACCAAGGACACCUUCCAAUAAAGGGCUGGCCUCUAAGAGAGGGUUGGCCUCUGUUAAGGAAGGCAGAAUUUUACUUCCCUGGGACAGCGGAAGUAAAGAAUCCAAGACAGCAAUCCUAUUGGGCAUGCUGGACUGGUGGUAAGUCCCAUUACACACCAUGGAGCUUACUUCCAAAUAGACAUGCCUAGGAUCAUGCUGUUAUUUCACAGUGGGUGAAAAGGGCAAAAUACCACACCACCUGCACCCAGCUGCUUAGCUCAAUAUCUGGAAGGCAUUAAUGCCUUUAAUUUUCAGCUGCAACCACCCUGUGUGGAUUUAAACAUUCACUAAACCAGAGGGUAGAUUUACACCAUGGGAAGGAGGAAGAAACUCUAGGACCACUUUUUUGAAUUGGGCUUUGAUGAGACCCAAGCUGGAAUUGUGGACCUUCACGUCUUCCUUUUUACCCAUCCCCUUUCACCUUCAUCAAGUUUUCAUCUUACAGCUGCAGAAAAUGCAAACAGCUCCAGCUUUUGGUGGCUGCUCAGGCAAGACACCCUCCAUGGGACCCCCCUUCCUCAAUGAGGCUCCCACUUCACUUCCAUUGUCGCCAUCCACUGCCCCACCUCUUCCUCACCAUUGCAGCCUCCUGCUUGCUUGCCAGUUAGAGAGCCAAUGAGCAAGAGGGCUGAGACAUCUCUGGCUCCUCAACAUCACUGCUCCUGUUACCUGGGCAAGAGCAAGAGGAGGGUGAAGCAAGGAGGCUGCAGUGGUGAAGAGGAGGCCCAGUCCCAGGAGGCCCUUGUUAGCAGCCCCCAGGAAAUGCCUGGCUGUGCUGACUCUUGAUGUCAUGCAGCCCCUGAAGCCAACAGAACCAAAGCUGAACAGAGGAGUUAGAAAGGUCUACCAAGGCAAGAACCAUGAGGAUAAGUAUCCACAACACUUGUUCUCCCACUGCUUGUGAAUUCUUCUUCCUAAUUAAGAAAGGGGGGGAAUAGUGUUUGCCAUCCUUUCCCCCCCCCCCAGGUAAGUCCCCAUCCAACAGAAUGGUAGGACUUGCCAAGUCACCUGGGUGAAAAGAAUCCAUAGGUUAUGUAUUGUCCACGCCUUUAGCCGUAAACAAAUUAUGAAAAAUCUGGAUUUUAAAAUUCUUUAAGUGGUACGUGUGUGUGUGUGUGUGUGUGUGUGUGUGUUUGUGUGACUUUGAUGAGUUGAGGAAGUUCUCCAAUCCUGGACACACAUCUUGGUGUUCAGCCAUAAUGAAUGGCUUCCAAAGGUAACAUAAUCUUCAUCUUAAAUGCCAAAUAACUCCCCAAGAAGGAUGUUGAGCAUUUUCUUAAAGAGGAAAAGAAAAGUGAUGAUUACCUUUGGUGUCACUGAACGUGCAUUUUGGAGGAGGCAGAGCUGCGUCCUCCACUCAAAGUCUUGCAUUGCAAAACUUAAAAUGCAAAUUUUGACUGGAUUUGAAUGCAUGCUGAGCUUCUCUUGGCUGAUAUUCUGGAGUCAGUCAAUAAAUCACUUUAUGCCUAAAACAGCAAUAUUCCAUUAAUCCCAGGGGUGUGAAAGCUUUUUUUCAAACUGAGGGCCACAUUCCUCUCCAGGUGACCUUCUGGGGGCCAUAUGCCAGUGACAAGUGGGGAUGGAUGCAAAAGUGGGCAGGGCAACUAAUGUGAAUUAUACCUUUGUUCGGUAGGCUGCUUUCUGCCCAUGCUCACACAACCCUUUCUGCCCUCCAUGCAGGCAAGCAAAAGGCAUGAUCAGAGUUCAAGGACACAGUCCAGCCUGGCAAAAGCACUUGGGAUGAAAAGCAAGACCAGAGAGUGGAUUGUAGAGAUGAGGGGUGACUUGGGGCAAGUUUGAAGGGCCAGAUAGAGAUAGCCUGCAGGCCUGAGGCCAUUCUCAAUCUACUCUGAUGCCCUCCUCCAAUAAUGGGCAUGUGUCCUACUUUGCAGAAUGCAAUCCUCUAUUUUAUGGACUGUUCAGUCCAAGUUUGGUUUAAGGAUAAUGGAUCAUAAGAAGGGAGAGCAGCUGGAUCCAUUAAGUUGCCCAUUCACAGUCAGCACCUAGGACAGCAGACAAUGUCUGCUUAUGUGGGCUGAUCCACAUAACUAUAUGAUAUAUAGGUAGCUGCAGAGGAUUUUUUAAUAAGCUGGAACUCACUGGAACACAAUGCCAGCACCUCUCAGUUGGGCAUCAUUGCCAUUAUAAGAGAACAAGGGAGGUGUUCAUGGUGAGUUCUGACACCUCUUUUUCUAGAAAUAUAGCACUGAAGGUGGGUAGGUAGGUAGGUAGGUAGGUAGGUAGGUAGGUAGGAUCAUAGAACUGCAGAGUUGGCAAGGCAGGAAUCUUGCACCCAGUGUGGUCCUCAAACCCACAACCCUGAGAUUAAGGGGUCUCAUGCUCUACCAGUUGAGCUAUCUGAUAGAUGACAGCUGCCUUGUUAUCUGACGGAAGCAAUCUUUAUCUGGUUCAGUAUGCAUACAUUUCACACACUGAAACAAUGAGGAGGUUGAAGGGGAGGGAAUAACACUUUUUAAUGGUUUGUCUUUACAUGUUGCCCUAAAGAGAGGCCAUCCCGCCUGCAGAAGAGUGAAGGGAGAAGACCUCAUCUGAAAUGGCAUCUAAUGUCUCCAGCUACUUAUACUAAGAAUAAUCACCUUUUAUGUUAAACAGUGUCACCUGAUUAACUGGAGGAGUCUUAUUAAUUGAUGCAAACUUCAAAAGAAGAAGAUUAAAACAGAUUAAAAAUUGCAGCCUUAGAGAGGGAACAAUGUGGGUUGCUACUAGAGGACACUAGGAAUGCUCCAAACGCAUGCAAUUCAUAUCUCAAUAGUUCUUUUGAAGGUUUCCCAGCUUGAGUUUUAAGAAUGUGUAUCAGAAAUUAUACACAUGCCUCAGAUUUUUGCAUCAGUGGAGAAGGGUUGUAAGUAGUGGCCCCUCAAAAGAGGUAAGCGCACAAGAACAUAAGGAGAGCCUGCUGGAUCAGGCCAGUGGCUCAUCUAGUCCAGCAUCCUGUUCUCACAGUGGCCAACCAGAUGCCCCCAUGGGAAGCCCGAAAGCAGGAUCUGAACACAAAACCAACUCUCUCCUCCUGUGGUUUCCAGCAAUGGGUAUUCAGAAACAUUGCUUCCUCUGGCCAUGGCUGCAAGGUCAAGCCCAGCGGCUCACCUCAUCCAGCGUCCUGUUCUCACAGGAGACCUGAUGCCUAUUUUAAGCCCGCAAGCAAGACUUGAGUGGAACUGUAGCUCUCCUACACUGACCUGCACUGCUAGUUGAAUGUAGCCCACUCAAUGAACCCUGCAGUCUGCCAGACACAAGAGGCACCACAUGUGGUUGGUGAAUUGUUUAGUGGGUCACAAGCUUUGCAGGCAAGAGCUAGAAUCAGAUCUAAUUAAUGGCUGGCUACAUGUGCAUAGGAUAUAUGCUCGCACUACCCAACCCUUCCUGCUCUGUCCCUUCCCAGCCUUUCAGGAAGCACCAGCAUUUUAAGAGUGUUGGAUAAUGAUAAGGAGGUGUGGAUGUUCCCAGCUGAUGUCAUCCAUCUCCUGGCCAAUCACAAUCAAUGGGGUCUUUCUGCUUCAUUGCCCCAUUUGCUGUAUGAAAGUCAGAACCCCCAAUAGUCUGACCCAGGCACAAUGUCACAGACAGAAUUUAAUGAGCAGGAAACAUUUGCCUUCUGGAGCUGUCUGGAGCUAGGCAGCAAUUAAUUCAUAGACCACAGCAGAGCUGCAUAAGAUGUCAGCCACCACAAGCCCUUUCAGUCUGCUUGCUUUUUUCUUUUCUUCUUUCCUUUUUAAAAUAUUUAGCACUCCCAGAACAUUUCCAUAUCUGGAGCAUGGUUUUCUGCAGAUCACAAAGGCGCAUAUUUUGGUAUGGUUUUAUUAAGGGUCUAAUUCCAGGAAUGGUUGGAUACAGCCACCUCGCUCUGGUCAAUGCCUGGAUAGGAGAUCACCCAGGAUCCCAGUGGGACACUCCUUUGAGUUCCAUAAUGUUAGAAAGUUGAGAUACGAGUAUCAUAGUCUUAUAUUCCAAUACUUAUCUCAGGUCUCCACAAAUCAGUCCUUCUGUAGCCAAAAGGGCAUUUGCCAAUGCACAAUAGACUGUAAGAAGAGCCGUACUGGAUCAAGCCAAAAGGGGGCCCAUCUGGUCUAGCACCCUCUUCUCACAGUGGCCAACAGAUGCCCAUGGAAAGCCCUGAAGGAGGACUCUCCCCACUUGUAAUCCUCAGCAACUGGUAUUCAUUCGCCCAUUCCAACAGUGAAGGUGUAAUAUACGGAUUGGGGCUAGCAGCCAUGGAGAGCCUUCUACUCCAUGGAUUUGUCUAAUUCUCUUUAAAAGCCCCCCAGGUUGGUGGCCAUCACUGUCUCUUGCUGUGUGGUACAACAAUGCACUAUGUGAAGAAGGCCUUCCUUUUGUCUGUUAUGAAUCUUCCAACAUUCCUCUUCAUUGGGUGGCUCUAUGUUCUAGUGCAAUGAGAGAAGGAGAAAAAAACUUUUCUCUACCCACUUUCACCAUACCAUGUGUUCUGUUAUACAUUUAUUUAAUGUCUCCCUUACUCAAGGUGUAAGAAGGCUUGGUGAAACCCUUAAGUUAGCAGAAACACAGAAAAUCUUUAGAAGGCAACUCCAAAACAGCCCAAUGGGAACUGAGCAUGCUCUAUGGCCACAGAGUAGGACAGUCGGUAGAGCAUAAUCUCAAGGGCCAUGGUUCUGAGUCCCAUGUUGGGCAAAAGAUUCCUGCAUUGCAGAGGGUUGGACCAGAUGACCCUUGUGGUCACUUUUAAUUCUACAUUUCUAUGAUUCUAUGAAGUAGGGUUGACCUCUUUAUCCAGGACAUGCCCUCUUUUUCAUGGAUAUGUAAAAUAGUCAUCAUAGAGAUCCAUAGUUAAAAGCAGACAUCAGCAAAUGUAUCCUCUCUUUUUUCCUCUUUAAAAUACGGUAACCCUACACUGGCCACUGUGGGGCAGGGGACAUGGAAAACUGAAAAAAAAGCAGAACAGAGGAGCUAGAAUCAUAAACAGCAAAACUUUGCAUUGCAACAUUCUUUUGCAGCCCUCACUUGUCACCCUGAAUUUGGAGAAGAGCCAUUGUACUCGGUACAAUAACAAAGAGAGAGAGUUUAUAACACAUAUUUUAGUGCCAAAUAGUCUUUCAAUCAUUAACACAGCCACUUUUAGAUGUCUAAAUCUGGGGUGGGGAAUAGGUGUUUUUCUUCCUGUUAUUGAAAGCCUUUGGAACCAAGCAAAGUUGGACCAGGAGGUGAGAGCCAGGAAAGAUGAAAUGGUGUGAGCAUCAGACAAGAGCAAGAGAUAGGACACUGGAUCAAAUCUCUGCUCAGCUAGGAAGCUUACUGGGUGACCUUGGGCUAAUGGCUCCUUCUCAGCUUCACCUACAUUGCAAGGUUGUUAGGGGAGGAUAAAAUUGAGAGGGUGGGCAGGGUUAGGCUGAGCUCCUGCCCUGCAGGGAAGGGCAGGUUUCAAAGGCAAGAAAUAAGAGUAAAUAAUAAUAACAACAAAUAUUUUUUUUAAAAAAUAAAUAAAUACCCAGAACAAACUUAGUUGGGCUCUAAGGUGCUACUGGACAAUUUUUUAUUUUUUAUUUUUUUAUUUCGACUGUGUCAGACCAACAUGGCUACCCACCUGAACAAAUAAAAUUGUGUUUUCUGUUUGGGACACCUUGAUAAGAAUCAGAAUGACACUCUUUACAGGUGGUGGCAAAGAUGGCACAUUGCGCUUCAGAGAGUGCUAGCUGAUUGCUCUCAACAGCUAUUUCUUUCUCUCCUGAAAGCUGACAUGCUUCUCCACACACACUUCCCACAACAAACUCGGCUAAGGAUGAUGUGAUAUAAGAACAUGCUUUAUACUAAGCCAGGCUUCUGAUCCAGCAAACUUAGUAUUGUCCACACAGCAGGCAACUGUUCUUCAGGGUUUCAGGUAGAAAAAUUGCAGCCCUACCUGGAGAUGACAGGGAUUGAAUCUGAGACCUUCUGCAUACACAGCAGAUGCUUUACCACCAGGGGUUGGCAACCUAAGGCCCAUGGGCCACAAGCAGCCCACGGGGGUCAUUUAACUGGCCCAUGAGCCACCCCAAAACCAAGCUGCCCACUCGGCGAGUCCCAGUGUGCUGCGCUAAACCAGCACAGUGUGGUGCGGGGACUCACUUCCGGAGCACUGGAAAUCAUGUCUGCGCAGACGCAGACACUGGAAAUCGCAAGUGCGCACGCUCACGCACGCGAGCAAUCUGGCCCAUGGAGGGAUCUCUGCUUGAGUGAAUCAGCCCAUGCGAGGUAAACCUUGCCAAUCCCUGCUCUGCCACUAAUGUGUGGCUGAAGGAGCAGUGGUUCAGGGUUGAAGACCCAUUGCUAUUACUGCAGCAGGGUCCCAGCAGACUUUCUGGCUCCAAUUUCCUUCAGCCACUCAAUUAGCAGGAAAGUGAGUUUUUUAGCCUCUGGAAAUAAAUCUUCUCACCCUUUGAGCUGAUUGGAACCAAUUGGAGCUGAUUGGAGGGGAGGAGUUUUUGUUUUUGUUUUUGCUCUUGUUCUUGUUUUUAUGUAGUUUGUGUUCUCGUUUUGUAUUUCUAUGUUGUUAACUGCCCUGUGAUCUUCAGAUGAAGGAUGGUAUGCAUAUUUAAUAAAUCAUCAUCAUCAUCAAGGAGGUGAUUUAGCCUCUUAUUGGCUCCUAGGGUCACUCUGGAGAAGGAGCCCAGGAAGAACACAGAGCACAGAUUGUUCUGUGUGCUCCAAAGCACACAGGAACAGUGAAAACACCAGGUGCUUCAGUUUCAGGACAGUGGCUGCAAGUUCUGCUGCGUACAAUAGGACCUCAAGAAAAACAUGACUUACACCACUCUGAAAGAAUAUAUCAGAGCACUUCCAAACCGUCCGUUCUACUGCAGAGAAAAUAAUAGCAACAUGUGGACAUCUGUACUGGUGACUGCAAUGCAUUCCUAAUUAUAAUAUUAUUGCAUAAUAUUAAAG
Non-coding RNA from Podarcis lilfordi (Lilford's wall lizard), 9834 nucleotides. NCBI's taxonomy places the organism in Eukaryota, Metazoa, Chordata, Lepidosauria, Squamata, Lacertidae. The record is from the annotation of a GenBank genome assembly.